CCCUUAGAUGUUCUGGGCCGCACGCGCGCUACACUGAUGCAUUCAACGAGCCUAUCCUUGACCGACAGGUCCGGGUAAUCUUUGAAUCUGCAUCGUGACGGGGAUAGAUUAUUGCAAUUAUUGGUCUCCAACGAGGAAUUCCUAGUAAACGCAAGUCAUCAGCUUGCAUUGAUUACGUCCCUGCCCUUUGUACACACCGCCCGUCGCACCUACCGAUUGAAUGGUCCGGUGAAAUCUUCGGAUUGAGACUUUGAUUUCUUCACGGAAAACGUUGUUUUAUAAAGUUGAUUAAACCUUACCAUUUAGAGGAAGGUGAAGUCGUAACA
RNAcentral lists this ribosomal RNA (326 nucleotides) under uncultured eukaryote. RNAcentral describes it as "partial 18S ribosomal RNA". It matches the Rfam family "Eukaryotic small subunit ribosomal RNA", at positions 1470 to 1796 of the family's 1831-position model. The record is from RNAcentral.